Molecule: non-coding RNA, 2138 nt
Organism: Camellia sinensis
Lineage: Eukaryota; Viridiplantae; Streptophyta; Magnoliopsida; Ericales; Theaceae
Source: RefSeq, a predicted model, not a curated record
AUAUUUUUUAUUAUUUUUUUAUUUUUUAUAAUUAUGGUGAGAAGAUCCAACCUACAAAUUGAAAUUAAAUAUCAAAACUAAAAAGAGAAUUAUAAAACUAAAAGACAAAUAUUAAUAUAUUUCAAUUCAAUACAACACAACCAACACCAAUUCAGUCCAUAAUCCAAGCAAUGGAAAAACAACCAACACCAAAAGAAAAACAAGGCCAAUUCAGUUCAUAACACAAGCAAAUGAAAAAAAACAAAAGAAAGCCCUAUAUAUCUAAACUUGACACUUCAAAGUUCACUUCCAUCAACUUCAUCAUUGAAUAAAACAGCUUCCAUCUCUGGCUCAUCAAGUGAAAGAUUUGCAAUUUCAAGGAAACCAGAACCCUCCAAUGAAUCAAAUGCAUCUCCCCCAACGUCCCAUAACUUGGUCUCUCCUUCUGUGUAUAGUUGACUCCUCCUUGAUAAGAGACGAAUAUUGGAGUGCACAAAAACCAAAUCCUCGCACCGUUGUGGUGUCAUUUUAUUCCUCCUCAUAGAGUGAAUGAAAGAGUAGGUGCUCCAAUUCCUUUCACAACAUGAUGAGGAACAUGGUUGGCUAAGUAAUUUCACUGCCAAAGAUUGGAGCGUAGGUGCAGAAGAGCCAUGUGCCAACCACCAAACCACUGGUUCCAUUACGCCUCUAUCACAUAUUGAGUCAGAGUCACCAAAACUUUCUAAACAACCUGAAAACUUCGCAUACUCUGUAUUAACAACUCUUCUCUCAUCUGAAUCAGGAAAGUAUCUCUUAAAACACUUGAUUCUCAUCUCAGAAAUUUCAACAUCUUUGUGAGGAGGAACACGAAUGGGAUUUUCAUGAAGCCACAUCCCACUAUAAUACCUAGAUUUCAUAAUUAGAAAAAAAUAAUAAGUAAAUUAUGCAAUGAAAAAAAUUAAAGUAUAAACUAUGACUCUAAUGUGAAUUAUACCUUGGAUUCAAAGAAUGAGCAAGGCAAUGAAGAGGUGUGCUACUUUUUGUCCACCUUUCCACUAAUAUUUGAUGCACUAUAGAGUAAAAGGAUGACUCUUCAUUUUCUGACUUCCCUUCACGUCUAUAGAUGGAUGCCUUCACCCGUUCAAUCAUUGAAUCCCACAUCUCAUAAACCAAAUGUAGACAUGGCUUAUCUGUGUCACAAAAUCUGAGCAUCUCAUAAAUUGGCAAUGUGAAUGAGAGUAUAUAUUCAAUCUUAUCCCACCAAACAUCAUUCAACAACUUUUCCUUUACAACACUUGCUUUCCCAACAUCAUCUUCCUUGUAAGAAGCCCAUUUGUCACUUAUCACCAUUGUUUGGAGACCAUGAUAUAUAAGUUUAAACCUUUUUAACAUAACAAUUGCAGAUGCAAAGCGUGUAUCUGCAACAGAAAGUAGCUUCAAAGGUACAAACUCAUUAAAAAUAGCUAAUCUCAUAGAAUGAUUCAUGACGAAAUGUUUCACAAACAUUACAUCAUCAAUCACAGUAGUGAUCCAAUGGCACUCAUCAUAAGCAUAUGCAGCAACUCCAAUUUCCUUCGCAGCACAAAUGUUCUUAAGAGCAAGAUUAAGAGUGUGCACUACACAAGGUGUCCAAAAGAUCUUCGGAUAAUUACCUUGAAUAAUUGAUCCAGCUGCACUACAAACUGGAGCAUUAUCAGUAAUUACCUGAAUUACAUUAUUAGGACCCACUUCAUCAAUCACUUCACUAAUUAAUUUGGCAAUAUGAUACUUGUCCUUGGUCUCACCCUCACAAUUAACAGCUUUUAUAAACAUAGCUCCACCAUUACAUGCUGCCAUAAAAUUAAUGAGAGGCCUCCUCUGUGCAUCAGUCCAUCCAUCAGAUACUAUACUCAACCCCUUCUCAUCCCAUGAUUUUUUAGUUGGUUCCAAUAACCUUUCAAUAUUUGCCCUUUCUUUUUGAAGUAAGGUAGUCCUCAACAAAUUAUAUCCAGGAGGGACAUACCCAACAAUUUGAUUCUCAGCAGCAUAUUGAAAAGCAUCCACAAAGUAUGGAUUCCUAGCCAAAUGGAAAGGCAAACCGGCUGAAUAGAACAUACGAGCAAUUAAAGAAUGUGGCUGAUAUGCAGUGCAGGGGACGAAUUGAAAAUAGAUGCUUGCUGAUCAGUGAUCUCUGUAUAAAA